Long non-coding RNA from Fukomys damarensis (Damara mole-rat), 3601 nucleotides. RefSeq lists it as uncharacterized. The transcript is spliced from 3 exons. The record is from RefSeq and is a predicted model, not a curated record. NCBI's taxonomy places the organism in Eukaryota, Metazoa, Chordata, Mammalia, Rodentia, Bathyergidae.
AAUAGCACCAGAAGUAAAGAGUCUUGUCUUGGCCACAAAUUGGCAGCUUAUGCACCAGCUGAACCCAACCUAACCCAACCACGCUGAGCAACUACUUUGGGAGGACAUGGAGAGGCUCUGGACAAGAAUGAUGCAAAGGCCUCUGCCUCUCGGCCACCUACAGUCACUACUGGCAUGGGUGCAAUAAACCCAAGGCUCAGACUCGGACAUAGCAAGUCACCAGGGAAGCAAGGGGGAGAGACGGUACUGCUACUGCCACUAGCUGACCAGGACCUCUGGGACAAGACUUCAGAUGGGCACCUCACCUCUUAGUCACGUCUACAGAUUAAAUGAGAGAACCACAGCCAAACCACCUCUCCAGAAGCUGAAUCUGGAAAGACACCUUGAGCUGCCUCUCUGGAGGCCCCCAGUGGAUUCUAACAGGCCAAAGAAGAAAGCUGCAUCCCUUGCGCUCCCCAAGGGCAACUAACCUCCCUACUGCACAUGAACAAUCUGGGGGCCCCUCAAGGGGAAAAAGGGGGGGAUGAACAGCUGUCCAGGAUUUAAGAGAAGUUGGCAGGGUGGUUGGUGACUCGGGCUUGGUCAGUAAUGUUGCAGUGGGUGACCAUGGUGGCUCAGAGGACGAAAAGAUUACUCGGAGGCAAGACUUGGUCUGAACUCUAAGAGGGACUGUCCUGAUGAAAGCACCCAGCAAGAAGGAGUCUCAAGGGAGCAGUCCUGACUUUUUUGCAGGGAAAUACUGCACGGGAAGAAAAACAGCUGGGAUGUGAGAGAACAAUGAGCCACCCACUGAGUCCUGGUGACACCGCCUCGAACACUGAUCCUUAAUGUGCCUACUUGUUGCCAUCACCCACCCAAGCUUGUCAUCUCUCACCUGGAGACUCCCAAGGCCUCCUGGCGGUUCCUGACCUCAACCUUGCCUCCUACAGAACAAGUAGGAAAAUCUUAUUAGGACACAAGGGUGAUUGUAUCGUGCAGCUCAACGCACAUACCUUUAGCACCCCUUGUGGUUAACAUAGAAUCCAAACUCCCUCUCUUGCCUCCCAUGUUCUACUACCCUGACCACAGCACUGAUCCCAUCUCCCCUAGGUCUUCCUCCAUCUACCCCCUUCAGUCACAGCCACCCUCUCUAGGGCCUUCUUUAGGGAGGAUAGAGGACACAGCGUAGCCCAACACAGGCCUUCUCCCCUGAGGUGAAAAGGAACCCAUAAGUCCCUCCUUCAAACACCUUUCCUUGCUCUCUAUGACCUAACUGCCCAAUGACAACCCCUUCCAAGCUAUCCCUUCUAUACUGUCUCUCUCAAGGUUGUAACUCUACUAUAUGCCUGGUAUGUCUCCAACCUUGGUUGACUUCAUGGUUCCCACCUGUUCCUAUCCUCCCAGUCAUCAUCAAGAGCUGAGGUCCAACCUAUUUUCUCUUUAGGGACCUUGCCCAGCAGCUGGGUCCCACGCUGAACCAAGAGGGAGGGGCCAGGCGAGAGAACCAACCUGGCAGUCUUUCCUGGGUGUUUAAAUCUCUUCCUUAUGCCAAGAACUUUCCAUACCCCCUCUUUUAUUUCCCUAACAAAGCAAGUAACAGUGUAGUAGCUCUAUGUCACCCAGGCCACCAAUCAUACUCAAUUCAUAAAACGCUAUAUUGUUUUCCAAUUCCUUCAAAAGCAUUUCUCUUGCCUACCCCCUGUGUAUCACCCAUUCAUCCCAACUAUUUUGUAGGUGUGCUGUAUGGGGACAACUCCUGGCCCUGCACAUGUCAGCUGCAAAAUCCCUGGCAAGUCCUCAGGCUCCCCAAGCUUCAGUUUUUCACCUAUAAAAUGGACAUUAACACCUAAUUCAAGACUUUGUGCAGACUAAGUCUGAUCACAGGCACAGAGCCCAACAUGGUAAUAUUCUGCAUUAGUAUUAUCACUUAGGACAUACACACUGAGCAUCCAUCCCAUAGAAGGCUGUGCGAUGAUGAAUAUAAAAGAGAUAAAAGGCUCUCUUAGAGCCCUGGUGUGCAACAAGAAAGACACACACAAACAACCACAACUAUGAUAACUGCAAAUACACAGUAUGUGCCAGGCACUAUAAAAUGUACACAAAUAUUCAUGUAAUCUCCACGUCAACCUUAUGAAACAUCAUCCCCAUUUAAUAGAUGAGGAAAUGGAGGCAAAGAAAAGUUAAGUAAUUAUUCCAAGAAUCAUAUAGUGGGGGCAGUGUCGGGGUUGAAAGCAAUACAAUCAGGUCCCAGGGCCUGGGAGUUCAGCUCCUUGGCUCUACUGUGUGGCCAGCAGGAUGAGGCAAAAGCAUAGCAAAAGCAGGUAUCUUUUCCCUCCACAGCAUCUGCCAUCAGUUAGGACGGCAGGAAGUAGGGAGGUGCUCAGUAAAUAAACCUGACUGCUGAGUGGAAGCCUGCGCAGGAUUUCCAUUUUAUCAUCCAGCUGCUGUCUGGUCAUCUUUGGGGCUAUGCGUCCAUGUCACUGUCAUCGUCAGCCCCAUCGGAAAAGCAAGCAAGCUGACUGUGGAAGGCCUCGCACAAGGUGUGGCCACGGAUCUCCUGGAAAUCUGGGCAGACCACCCAGCAGGCUUCCCACCCACAAGCCGGCUCUGAGGGCAGGAAGUGGAAUCCGGAGACAAGCAGGAAGGGGGGGGUGUGCAUUCAAGACCGUCUACCCAACUGUUACUGCAGCAGCCUAGAGGUGCAUUGAGGAAGGGGUAUCCCGCAGUCACAUAAACUCUGUGUCUUCCACACAUUUCCAGCCUGCAGUCCCCACCUCUGGAAGGAAAAAACAAGGACUGCCCGGCACACCCAGUGAUGGAAGGAAAGUGCCUAGGAGUCAGAGAACGUGAGUCAGCAGAGCGCGGCUGCUGAUUCUUAAGAAAAAUGGAUUUGACUAUGUGAUGAUCUCCUGGAACAGAAGGGACCUGGCUUUCCCUGGGCAAUAGGUGAUGUUCAAGGCUUAGGAACAGGAGAUAAACCACAUGCUGCUAAGUAAACCGGAGCAUUCUCUGAUCCAAAAGAUAAAGCUGCUGUACUCAGGACUCCAGAAGAAAUUUUUAAAAUAUACAGAUGAUUUAUUCCCACCAGGGAGGGUUGAAAUCCUAAGUGUUUAAAUAAAUUUAACCGAGCAAUGUGAAGAGUCUUUCGUAGUUCUCAUGGUGGUGCAGCAUUCUCAAGGCCUCUCAACGUCUUAAAGUGUAUCAUGAGACUGCAAGAAUUAAAUCAGGAUGAUAAGAAUAGAGCAGAAACUGAAUCACACGAAAAGUCCAAAAAGAGACCCAUCUGUAUCAUAAAGUGAAAUAACUGGGGAGAGGAAAUGACAGACCAGAACCAAAACGUGGUGCUGGUACCGCUGGCGAACCAUCUGAGAAGAGUAACAGGCUACUUCGGGCCUUGUGUCAACGUAUCCCACUGCAAAAAGUGAAACUGCAAGAAUUACUGGAAGAAAAUGUAAGUAAAUAUUUACAUAAUCUCCAGACUAAGAAGGCCUUUAUAAGGACGACACCAAAAAAAAAGCCAUAAGAUAUACACAGGUUGAAUAUCCCUAAUCCAAAAUUCUGAAAUCUAAAGUGCUUCAAAAUCUGAAACUCACUGAAGACCACACUAUUCCUCAAUGGAAAA